CGGAAGUGAAACAAUUUCAUUUGAUGCCAUUUCGGAGGACAGGAGUGGGCGAGAAUAAUUGAUCGUUUACAAUAUAAUAAAAUUAUGGGAAAUUAAAUAGCUUAGCGGAAUAUAUCGCUCAAUCAAAACAUAACGGAAGCCGAGUUGAGAUGGAGAGCCGUCGCACAGUAACACGAAGGUCGAGAAAUCAACGCAUCCGACUCAUCAAAUGACAUCGCCACACGCUCGUUUGCCAACCUGUAGCCUAGGUGUGGUGGGCUCGAGGGCGGUCAGUGUUUGGUGUCAACAAACGAACACUUCCACAUCAACGCGCUCGGAUUCUUCCACGGAGGCAGAGGGACUGACGCUGGUAACGGACAUAGUCGCCCCCAUGCCCCGCUUCCCGGGGAGGACUGCGGACGUGGCCGCUAACCUGACUUCCCCCGUGCUGGGUCGGCCACUGUGCGCUAACGGGACGCCCUGGACCCUCUACCUGUUUGAGGAAUGCGUGGAGAAUGUGUGGGAAUACUGGAGCGUAGUCAUCGGGCUGAUCUCAAUGUUCUGUUUCUUGCUGUCUACUCUGCCGCAAGUCUAUGAGGCUUAUCGCAAUGGUAAAGUGGAGGAGGCCAUGUCGUUUGGCUUUAUGCUCUUCCUCUUCAGUGGGGACCUCAGCAGUCUAAUAGGCUGCGUCCUGACCAGCCAGCUGCCCAUCCAGGUAUCUAUCAACAGGCACAACUUCAACUUGCUCUUGUAUGAAUAUGGGCAGAGGCAUUGCCAUAGCACUCUCUGCCCAGACAUGCCAGGAUGCACUGUAUCACAGCUGCAUUGAAGCAUAUUUUUUUAAAACAUUCAGCAUUUUGUUUCAUCUGGUUUGUGAAUGGAGUUAGUUAGGUACAUUGUAUCCCAAUGGCAUGUUUUCCUUAACCUUUCCCUGACCCUUACCUAUGCCUUUCCCUGACCCUUACCUAUGCCUGACCCUUACCUAUGCCUUUCCCUGACCCUUGCCUUUCCCUGACCCUUACCUAUGCCUGACCCUUACCUAUGCCUGACCCUUACCUAUGCCUGACCCUUACCUAUGCCUGACCCUUACCUAUGCCUGACCCUUACCUUUGCCUGACCCUUACCUUUCCCUGACCCUUACCUUUCCCUGACCCUUACCUAUGCCUGACCCUUACCUAUGCCUUUCCCUGACCCUUACCUAUGCCUGACCCUUACCUAUGCCUUUCCCUGACCCUUGCCUUUCCCUGACCCUUACCUAUGCCUGACCCUUACCUAUGCCUUUCCCUGACCCUUACCUAUGCCUGACCCUUACCUUUCCCUGACCCUUACCUAUGCCUGACCCUUACCUAUUCCUACCUGCAGAGGGUGCCACUGUCGUCUAAAUCAUAUCUUCUCUCUCUCAGAUUGUGACAGUAGUGUUCUACAUCUCCACUGAUCUCCUGCUCAUCUCCCAGUUCCUCUACUACAAGAUAAAGAACAACUCAUCUAAAAGUUAUCAGCGUUGUUCAUUGUAUUGUAGUUGGUGUGCUAUAGUGUUCUCCAGUCUGUGUACUCACUAAUAUGCUAGAUGUAUUCCCUAUAGACAAUGCUAACAGCUCUGCCCAGUUAUCCAUGCCUAAUGUGUUUGACAUGACUGUGUUCAAGUGAAAUUGCUAGUUUCUACUAAAAGUUGAUUACUGACUAAUUCUCCCCUUGUAAAGCUCCUUUGUUAGUCCAGUUUGCAGCCGAGGGCUGGAACACAAAAUGAAGACAUAUUGGAUUACGUAACAGUACAUCUACACAAGUGUGUGUUGUGGGUAUGUAUCUGUCAAUAAAGACAGAGUGACUGAUUUGAGGGACAGAAAGAGAGAGGGAGGUCUUGCCACACCUGUUCAAGCCCUUCCCUACUUUCUCCGUAGCUCCGGUAUCUCACAGGUGUGUCUGAAACAGGUCACCUCUACAAAACCAGGAGGGGCAGCAACACUGUGUCUCUCUUCCCCCAGAGCGCCCCACGUUGAAGUGGUUGUGUUUCCUGUGGUGUGGGGCUUCCACUGUGGCCCUCCUGAUCCUCCCCAAGUUCAUCACUGACAACAACCCCUCUGCAAACACUCAGAGUGCCUCUAACAGUGUGGAGAUUUCUGGUUAUGCCUGUGGAUACCUGGCCUCCAUAUUCUACCUCUCCUCUCGUUUUCCACAGCUCUACAAAAAUUUUAAGCGACAGUCUACAGAGGGCACGUCGUACAUGCUGUUUGCCCUGGCCAUGAUGGGCAACGGGACCUACGGGCUCAGUGUCAUUGUGGUUCUACCAGCUCUGGCCGGCUCCAAACAGACCUUCAUCCUCAAACAUCUGGCCUGGCUCAUCGGCAGCCUGGGAGUCCUCCUCCUAGACUUCUUUGUCACCGCCCAGUUCAUCAUCUAUAGGAAGAACCACUCCGCUAAAACCAGCAAGAAGAUGAACGUUCCUGAAGUAGAACCUCUGCUCUGUGAAGAGGAGGAACUGUCCACAUUCUAGAGUGAGAACAUUAUGGAAGUUCUAGAGUGAGAACAUUAUGGAAGUUCUAGAGUGAGAACAUUAUGGAAGUUCUAGAGUGAGAACAUUAUGGAAGUUCUAGACUGAGAACAUUAUGGAAGUUCUAGACUGAGAACAUUAUGGAAGUUCUAGACUGAGAACAUUAUGGAAGUUCUAGACUGAGAACAUUAUGGAAGUUCUAGAGUGAGAACAUUAUGGAAGUUCUAGAGUGAGAACAUUAUGGAAGUUCUAGAGUGAGAACAUUAUGGAAGUUCUAGAGUGAGAACAUUAUGGAAGUUCUAGAGUGAGAACAUUAUGGAAGUUCUAGAGUGAGAACAUUAUGGAAGUUCUAGAGUGAGAACAUUAUGGAAGUUCUAGAGUGAGAACAUUAUGGAAGUUCUAGAGUGAGAACAUUAUGGAAGUUCUAGAGUGAGAACAUUAUGGAAGUUCUAGAGUGAGAACCUUAUGGAAGUUCUAGAGUGAGAACCUUAUGGAAGUUCUAGAGUGAGAACCUUAUGGAAGUUCUAGAGUGAGAACCUUAUGGAAGUUCUAGAGUGAGAACCUUAUGGAAGUUCUAGAGUGAGAACCUUAUGGAAGUUCUAGAGUGAGAACCUUAUGGAAGUUCUAGAGUGAGAACCUUAUGGAAGUUCUAGAGUGAGAACCUUAUGGAAGUUCUAGAGUGAGAACCUUAUGGAAGUUCUAGAGUGAGAACCUUAUGGAAGUUCUAGAGUGAGAACCUUAUGGAAGUUCUAGAGUGAGAACCUUAUGGAAGUUCUAGAGUGAGAACCUUAUGGAAGUUCUAGAGUGAGAACCUUAUGGAAGUUCUAGAGUGAGAACCUUAUGGAAGUUCUAGAGUGAGAACCUUAUGGAAGUUCUAGAGUGAGAACCUUAUGGAAGUUCUAGAGUGAGAACCUUAUGGAAGUUCUAGAGUGAGAACCUUAUGGAAGUUCUAGAGUGAGAACCUUAUGGAAGUUCUAGAGUGAGAACCUUAUGGAAGUUCUAGAGUGAGAACCUUAUGGAAGUUCUAGAGUGAGAACCUUAUGGAAGUUCUAGAGUGAGAACCUUAUGGAAGUUCUAGAGUGAGAACCUUAUGGAAGUUCUAGAGUGAGAACCUUAUGGAAGUUCUAGAGUGAGAACCUUAUGGAAGUUCUAGAGUGAGAACCUUAUGGAAGUUCUAGAGUGAGAACCUUAUGGAAGUUCUAGAGUGAGAACCUUAUGGAAGUUCUAGAGUGAGAACCUUAUGGAAGUUCUAGAGUGAGAACCUUAUGGAAGUUCUAGAGUGAGAACCUUAUGGAAGUUCUAGAGUGAGAACCUUAUGGAAGUUCUAGAGUGAGAACCUUAUGGAAGUUCUAGACUGAGAACCUUAUGGAAGUUCUAGACUGAGAACCUUAUGGAAGUUCUAGACUGAGAACCUUAUGGAAGUUCUAGACUGAGAACAUUAUGGAAGUUCUAGACUGAGAACAUUAUGGAAGUUCUAGACUGAGAACAUUAUGGAAGUUCUAGACUGAGAACAUUAUGGAAGUUCUAGACUGAGAACAUUAUGGAAGUUCUAGACUGAGAACAUUAUGGAAGUUCUAGAGUGAGAACAUUAUGGAAGUUCUAGAGUGAGAACCUUAUGGAAGUUCUAGAGUGAGAACCUUAUGGAAGUUCUAGAGUGAGAACCUUAUGGAAGUUCUAGAGUGAGAACCUUAUGGAAGUUCUAGAGUGAGAACCUUAUGGAAGUUCUAGAGUGAGAACCUUAUGGAAGUUCUAGAGUGAGAACCUUAUGGAAGUUCUAGAGUGAGAACCUUAUGGAAGUUCUAGAGUGAGAACCUUAUGGAAGUUCUAGAGUGAGAACCUUAUGGAAGUUCUAGAGUGAGAACCUUAUGGAAGUUCUAGAGUGAGAACCUUAUGGAAGUUCUAGAGUGAGAACCUUAUGGAAGUUCUAGACUGAGAACAUUAUGGAAGUUCUAGACUGAGAACAUUAUGGAAGUUCUAGACUGAGAACAUUAUGGAAGUUCUAGACUGAGAACAAUAAGAUAAUUCUAGAAAUCCUCUCCAUAAUCAAUCAAUCAAUCAAAUGUAUUUAUAAAGCCCUUUUUACAUCUGUAGAUGUCACAAAGUGAUAUAUGUAGAAAAUCGGGCUUAAAACCCCAAACAACAAGCAAUGCAGAUGUAGAAGAACGAUGGCUUGGAAAAACUCCCUGUUGACUGGAGACCUGCACUAAUCUGACAGAUGUGAUGGUACACCAAUGUUCCCUCCUCUGAAAUACAGGUGAAUUACAGGCGUUUUAUAUUUGACGAAUGUAAUCUCAGUAGAACUAUUCUCUCUCUCUUUGUAAGGGAGGAGGGGGUCAUGUGAUCUAUUCACUAUGCCAUUUCCUCGUACGCCUCAGGCCUAUUGGCUGUGUCAGUGUCUCACAUUGCUCUAGUCUAGUUUGUCAACGGUUAGAGCUCUUGUGUUUUCCAGGAUAAGAUAUGCAAUACACUGAACUGUUCCCGCAGCGUUGUUGUCUAGGUAGACCGUAGAGUAGGGGACCACACCAGUGGUUGUUCCUGUAUGUACGUUUACAAAUGUCAUACGUUGGCACUAUUGGUGUGUCGCAAAGUAGUGGGCUGCACCCACAGUAAUGUAUUUAGUAAUAGUUUACCCCUGGUUUUGUUCUAUGAGCAGAUUCUGUCGUAGUUAAAUCUAUAAGUUGGUAAAUUGCUUGGAGUGUUUACACAGUGUUUAGAUGGUGAAAAUACAGUGGGGUAAAGCCUGAUAUCCUGUGCCUUGCAUCUACAUUAUAUUAAUAUGAAUGUGUUGCUGCAGUGCAGUGCUGAAGGCUGUUUGACGUGUUCAAGGCUGCUGCUUUUUAAAAACAAACAGUUUUUGGGCUGAAAUCUAACCGUUUUAACUGAACAGCCUGUUUUCCUUAUCUCCUCUCCUUAUCUCCUCUGGCCCAGUUUAUUUUACUUUCAGUGUCCACAAAGGAAGGGAGGAAGGAGUUUAAUUAUUAUUAUUUUUUACAUUAUUGAGUCACAGCCGUGAACAUUGAGUUCACCCCUUAUUUUGGAGUUGUGUCCAGGGGUGUGUUCAUCAGGAACCAAAUGUAACAAAACGGGUUAAGGGGCCUACCUGAAUUUGUCCAAUAGAAACUCUCGUUUUCGUUUCAAAAUAUUUUCGUUUAAGAGUAAUAAGCAUUUCGAAACGGAAACCGUUUACUCAAAAACGGAAAAUGUUGUGUGACUAAUGAAUACACCCCAGUCUUCUAUGUGUGUAGUCACAUGUUCAGAAAGUGGCGGAUCAAGGUUUUGUGGGAAAUUUGAACGUUUUUUAUAAGUUGAUGUGUCAUAACUUGGUAACAUACUGGAGACCAACGAUUCGUUACGUUUUUGUACUGGUCACAUCACUGUUGUUAGUGUGUCAUGGAUGUGAUUGGUCGAUUGACAGCACAGAUUUUUCUCUACCUCCGUCUUUCAGUGAGGGGGGUUUGUUUUAUCUGGCCCUGGUUACCACGGUGGGAGGAGUUUGAGCUGGGUGAAAAGUGAUUGUAUUCAUUUUGGAAUCGGGCCCCACUCUGGUCGCCGGUGAAGGUGGCUCAAAACAAACAUGACGUAAUUAAGCACGUGGAAAGAUGGGUAGGAUUCUGUUUUCACAUGCUAAAGUGAUUGCUUUUGAUUUAUUUUUUAUUUUUUUAAAACUUUCUGCCUUCUCAAUAAAAACUAGUUUGACUAUUCAAACAUUUUAUUUUAUGGAAAAUGUAUGUAUGUUUCGUGACGAUGCACCAUGCUGCCUUGUUGACAUGACCGAGUGGCUCAGAUUACUGUUUGAUUUGAGAAAGGCGCUCCUGCAUCCCUGCUAUUUCACCCGAUGACGUGAUGGGCCAUUGCCCGGGUUCAACCUGGGCCAGUGUAAUAGAAUUCCCUUCUAUUCUCUGGUGAAAAUGUAAAUAUGAAUCUAGUUAAGUGUUGGAUAUAUAUAUAAGGAGUGCUUGUGGACGGAAACAUGACAAAACAUGAUGUGAGUGUUUUAUUGGUAGAAAUAGUCUCGAGUUACAGCUGGGUUUUAAUAAGCACAGUUGUGAUUGGUGGACUUUCCAUGUGAGAAAUAAGGUGUAUUUCUACUUGUACCUGAUGUAUUGGAAAAGCUCAAAAUGUGGUCUUUGGGAAAAAAUAGCUGUUUUCAAAAUGGCUGACCAGCAAAUGAUUGUGGCCAUGGUCAUGAAACAUCAGGAAAGCCAUGAACGAAGAGAAAUUAUGAUGCCACUUAUUUUCUCCGAUAAACCUGUAGAUAGUUGCAGAUUUUGUUGAUUAUUUUAAAGGUAAAUUAUCAGUUGUUUCAGACAACCUUUUUUUUUCUUUCUCUCCUUUCUCUUGAGAAAUUAAGUUUCAUUCUGGUUUGCUCAAAGCCUGGCCUCUCUUCAAUGUGUUUUCUAUAGACAUUUUUUUCCAAACAAUAGAAUGGAAUAAUGAGAUAUUUAUUUACAGUCUCAAAAGAACAAGGAAAAUGUAUGAAAUUAUUUUUACUUGAAUAAUGACACACUGUAUUGCUAUUUUAAGAUACACAUGUAUUUAUAUUUAUACUUAAGAUAACAUGGUAUUGUAUUUUCCUUAUGCUUUGGCCUAUACGUUACUUGCAAUAUUUAUGUCAUUGACGAUAAUGUCCCAGUAUCUCAGCUUUUGUAGUUAAUUCCAAUAUGAUGCUUAUGUAACAAACAUCUCAAUAAAGACCGAAUUAUAUCCAA
RNA transcript from Oncorhynchus kisutch (coho salmon), 7176 nucleotides. RefSeq lists it as uncharacterized. The transcript is spliced from 6 exons. Lineage: Eukaryota; Metazoa; Chordata; Actinopteri; Salmoniformes; Salmonidae. The record is from RefSeq and is a predicted model, not a curated record.